AGUUUGACUGGGGCGGUCUCCUCCCAAAGAGUAACGGAGGAGCACGAAGGUGGGCUAAUCACGGUUGGACAUCGUGAGGUUAGUGCAAUGGCAUAAGCCCGCUUAACUGCGAGAAUGACGGUUCGAGCAGGUGCGAAAGCAGGUCAUAGUGAUCCGGUGGUUCUGUAUGGAAGGGCCAUCGCUCAACGGAUAAAAGGUACUCCGGGGAUAACAGGCUGAUACCGCCCAAGAGUUCAUAUCGACGGCGGUGUUUGGCACCUCGAUGUCGGCUCAUCACAUCCUGGGGCUGAAGUCGGUCCCAAGGGUAUGGCUGUUCGCCAUUUAAAGUGGUACGCGAGCUGGGUUUAGAACGUCGUGAGACAGUUCGGUCCCUAUCUGCCGUGGGCGUUGGAAGAUUGAAGGGGGCUGCUCCUAGUACGAGAGGACCGGAGUGGACGAACCUCUGGUGUUCGGGUUGUGUCGCCAGACGCAUUGCCCGGUAGCUAAGUUCGGAAUUGAUAAGCGCUGAAAGCAUCUAAGCGCGAAGCGAGCC
This 532-nucleotide ribosomal RNA is filed under the name Vibrio cholerae. Its description in RNAcentral is "partial 23S ribosomal RNA". It matches the Rfam family "Bacterial large subunit ribosomal RNA", at positions 2267 to 2798 of the family's 2925-position model. The record is from RNAcentral. Lineage: Bacteria; Pseudomonadati; Pseudomonadota; Gammaproteobacteria; Vibrionales; Vibrionaceae.